This 492-nucleotide ribosomal RNA is filed under the name uncultured bacterium. RNAcentral describes it as "partial 16S ribosomal RNA". It matches the Rfam family "Bacterial small subunit ribosomal RNA", at positions 29 to 507 of the family's 1533-position model. The record is from RNAcentral.
AGUGAACGCUGGCGGUAGGCCUAACACAUGCAAGUCGAACGGCAGCACAGUAAGAGCUUGCUCUUACGGGUGGCGAGUGGCGGACGGGUGAGGAAUACAUCGGCAUCUACUUUUUCGUGGGGGAUUACGUAGGGAAACUUACGCUAAUACCGCAUACGACCUACGGGUGAAAUCAGGAGAUCUUCGGACCUUUCGCGAUUGAAUGAGCCGAUGUCGGAUUAGCUAGUUGGCGGGGUAAAGGCCCACCAAGGCGACGAUCCGUAGCUGGUCUGAGAGGAUGAUCAGCCACACUGGAACUGAGACACGGUCCAGACUCCUACGGGAGGCAGCAGUGGGGAAUAUUGGACAAUGGGCGCAAGCCUGAUCCAGCCAUACCGCGUGAGUGAAGAAGGCCUUCGGGUUGUAAAGCCCUUUUGUUGGGAAAGAAAAGCAGCAGGUUAAUACCCCGCUGUUCUGACGGUACCCAAAGAAUAAGCACCGGCUAACUUCGUG